UAACUUCGGGAAACCGAGGCUAAUACCGCAUAAUACCCACGGGUCAAAGGAGCAAUUCGCUUGAGGAGGAGGUCGCGGCCCGAUUAGUUAGUUGGCGGGGUAAUGGCCCCCACCAAGACGGUGAUCGGUAUCCGGCCUGAGAGGGCGCACGGACACACUGGAACUGAAACACGGUCCAGACUCCUACGGGAGGCAGCAGGUGGGGUAAUUUUGCGCAAUGGGGAAACCCUGACGCAGCAACGCCGCGUGGAGGAUGAAGUCUCUUGGGACGUAAACUCCUUUCGAUCGGGACGAUUAUGACGGUACCGGAAGAAGAAGCCCCGGCUAACUUCGUG
This 335-nucleotide ribosomal RNA is filed under the name uncultured bacterium. Its description in RNAcentral is "bacterial SSU rRNA". It matches the Rfam family "Bacterial small subunit ribosomal RNA", at positions 144 to 507 of the family's 1533-position model. The record is from RNAcentral.